GUGAGGAAUAUUGGUCAAUGGGCGGGAGCCUGAACCAGCCAAGUCGCGUGAAGGAAGAAGGAUCUAUGGUUCGUAAACUUCUUUUGCAGGGGAAUAAAGUGCAGGACGUGUCCUGUUUUGUAUGUACCCUGAGAAUAAGGAUCGGCUAACUCCGUGCCAGCAGCCGCGGUAAUACGGAGGAUGCAAGCGUUAUCCGGAUUCAUUGGGUUUAAAGGGUGCGUAGGUGGUUUGAUAAGUCAGCGGUGAAAGUUUGCAGCUUAACUGUAAAAAUGCCGUUGAAACUGUCGGACUUGAGUGUAAAUGAGGUAGGCGGAAUGCGUGGUGUAGCGGUGAAAUGCAUAGAUAUCACGCAGAACUCCGAUUGCGAAGGCAGCUUACUAAGCUACAACUGACACUGAAGCACGAAAGCGUGGGGAUCAAACAGGAUUAGAAACCCUGGUAGUCC
Molecule: ribosomal RNA, 445 nt
Filed under: uncultured bacterium
Lineage: Bacteria
Description: partial 16S ribosomal RNA
Rfam family: Bacterial small subunit ribosomal RNA
Source: RNAcentral